GGGGAAUAUUGCACAAUGGGGGAAACCCUGAUGCAGCGACGCCGCGUGGAGGAAGAAGGUCUUCGGAUUGUAAACUCCUGUUGUUGAGGAAGAUAAUGACGGUACUCAACAAGGAAGUGACGGCUAACUACGUGCCAGCAGCCGCGGUAAAACGUAGGUCACAAGCGUUGUCCGGAAUUACUGGGUGUAAAGGGAGCGCAGGCGGGAAGACAAGUUGGAAGUGAAAUCUAUGGGCUCAACCCAUAAACUGCUUUCAAAACUGUUUUUCUUGAGUAGUGCAGAGGUAGGCGGAAUUCCCGGUGUAGCGGUGGAAUGCGUAGAUAUCGGGAGGAACACCAGUGGCGAAGGCGGCCUACUGGGCACCAACUGACGCUGAGGCUCGAAAGUGUGGGUAGCAAACAGGAUUAGAUACCCUGGUAGUCCACACCAUAAACGAUGAUUACUAGGUGUUGGAGGAUUGACCCCUUCAGUGCCGCAGUUAACACAAUAAGUAAUCCACCUGGGGAGUACGACCGCAAGGUUGAAACUCAAAGGAAUUGACGGGGGCCCGCACAAGCAGUGGAGUAUGUGGUUUAAUUCGACGCAACGCGAAGAACCUUACCAAGUCUUGACAUCCCUUGACGAACAUAGAAAUAUGUUUUCUCUUCGGAGCAAGGAGACAGGUGGUGCAUGGUUGUCGUCAGCUCGUGUCGUGAGAUGUUGGGUUAAGUCCCGCAACGAGCGCAACCCUUACUGUCAGUUACUACGCAAGAGGACUCUGGCAGGACUGCCGUUGACAAAACGGAGGAAGGUGGGGAUGACGUCAAAUCAUCAUGCCCUUUAUGACUUGGGCUACACACGUACUACAAUGGCGUUAAACAAAGAGAAGCAAGACCGCGAGGUGGAGCAAAACUCAGAAACAACGUCCCAGUUCGGACUGCAGGCUGCAACUCGCCUGCACGAAGUCGGAAUUGCUAGUAAUCGUGGAUCAGCAUGCCACGGUGAAUACGUUCCCG
RNAcentral lists this ribosomal RNA (995 nucleotides) under uncultured bacterium. RNAcentral's name for it is "bacterial SSU rRNA". It matches the Rfam family "Bacterial small subunit ribosomal RNA", at positions 356 to 1376 of the family's 1533-position model. The record is from RNAcentral.